CCUACGGGAGGCAGCAGUGGGGAAUUUUGGACAAUGGGCGCAAGCCUGAUCCAGCCAUGCCGCGUGCGGGAAGAAGGCCUUCGGGUUGUAAACCGCUUUUGUCAGGGAAGAAAUCCUUUGGGUUAAUACCUCGGAGGGAUGACGGUACCUGAAGAAUAAGCACCGGCUAACUACGUGCCAGCAGCCGCGGUAAUACGUAGGGUGCGAGCGUUAAUCGGAAUUACUGGGCGUAAAGCGUGCGCAGGCGGUUAUGCAAGACAGAUGUGAAAUCCCCGGGCUCAACCUGGGAACUGCAUUUGUGACUGCAUAGCUAGAGUACGGUAGAGGGGGAUGGAAUUCCGCGUGUAGCAGUGAAAUGCGUAGAUAUGCGGAGGAACACCGAUGGCGAAGGCAAUCCCCUGGACCUGUACUGACGCUCAUGCACGAAAGCGUGGGGAGCAAACAGGAUUAGAUACCCUGGUAGUCCACGCCCUAAACGAUGUCAACUGGUUGUUGGACGGCUUGCUGUUCAGUAACGAAGCUAACGCGUGAAGUUGACCGCCUGGGGAGUAACGGCCGCGAAGGUUGAAACUUCGAAAGUAGAGUUAGGCGNGNGAGAGCGACGACGACGACGACGGAGGGAGGAGG
Molecule: ribosomal RNA, 627 nt
Filed under: uncultured bacterium
Lineage: Bacteria
Description: bacterial SSU rRNA
Rfam family: Bacterial small subunit ribosomal RNA
Source: RNAcentral